GGUUCAAAUGGGCAAGUCAAGAUGGCAAUUUUGGCAUCUUCAAUUUGCUUUGGCAUUUGUGGGUGACUCAUAUCUUUGUCGACAAUGAUUCCAUAGAUGAGUUCUGUAUCUUCCAGUUUCCCACCUACUUUCCCCUCCACUUUAAUAAGGUCUAGGUUAACAUCUUUCCUCUCUAAAUCAGCAACAGCCAUGACUGCCUUUACAGCAAUCUCAGCCAAACUUCGCUUGCAACGAUUCACACUGAUAGAUAGGAGGGAACAUUUGGAUUAAACACAGUAGUCAAAAAGAGUAUGAAAUUAUAUCAAGGAAACAUGCUUACAUUUUGGAGGAUAAGGUGGUCAUGCAAGUUUGAACCAAAGGUUCUAUGUUUGUGGCAUUGAAAUCAAACUUAUGAGCUAUUUGUUCUAAAUGAUCAACAGCAAUCCUUGAUGAUAUCUCGAAUCCUUCUGCAACUCGGAUGGGAUGGAUUCCACGUUCCAGA
This 481-nucleotide long non-coding RNA is filed under the name Lactuca sativa (garden lettuce). Its description in RNAcentral is "long non-coding RNA (LSAT_LNC003231)". Lineage: Eukaryota; Viridiplantae; Streptophyta; Magnoliopsida; Asterales; Asteraceae. The record is from RNAcentral.